GGAAGCAUUGGUAGCCAACUACAGAAAAAGGAACCACAGUCCUUUGAAAGGAGAAAUGACUGGUUCAAGAUGAGGAUGAGUGAAUAGACUUUGGCAGCCCAUGAAGUUGCCCUGGAAUUAUGUUGCAAAGAAGCACUAUUUUUCAGUCUGUUUUAUACCUUAGUUGGAGUAGAGUAGUGGCAGAUAAAUAGUCACAAUAUGUCAGCUGAACUUGGGUGACAUCUCUGAAAGCAAUGGAAAAAUAUCAUGGCUGGUUUUCCCUAAGUCUUUCGGGCAUGUGCCAUCAAACAUAGUAGCCACUAGACAUUUGUGGAUAUUUAAAUAAAAAAUGAUUAAAAUUAAAUGAAUUAAAAAAUCAAUUCCUCAGUCACACUGGCCACAUAUUGAGUAUGCAAUAGCCACAUGUGGCCAGCGGCUACUGCACUGGACAGCACUGAUGUAGAACAUUUCCACUGUGGCAGAAAGUCCUAUGGACAGUUCUACUGCAGUCAUCAGUUUGCCUAAGUUGUUUUCCAGCCAGAAAUAUGAGCUUCCCACAUCGCCCCCUCUGCAAAUCCUAGUGGCCUUCCUGAUGCUUGGCUCACUCUCACCUCCACCAUGCACUGCAAGACUGCUCCACACUGCAUUUUCUAGUUUUAAAAUUUCUUGAACAGCAAUUGUAAAGUUUAGCAUACAAUGAUAUGUAGUCAGUAUUCAUGAUUUAUAUGUUAACUCUAGAAUUUUAACUAUAUUAAGAGAUUCUUGUGGACAAGAAUCGUAUUUUUCAGUUUUAUAGCUUUUUAGUGCCCUGCUCAACUCAAGGAUCAUUCUAUUAUUGUUACAUUUUCAAAGCUUACUCCAGAACAAAGCUCAAGGAUUUUGUAUGUGUCUUCUUCUAGACUGUGCGCUCUUGUAAAAUAAAAUUCAUAAUUUA
This 913-nucleotide long non-coding RNA is filed under the name Homo sapiens (human). RNAcentral's name for it is "HSALNT0310692". Lineage: Eukaryota; Metazoa; Chordata; Mammalia; Primates; Hominidae. The record is from RNAcentral.